AUCACCUGAGAAUCUUGUUAAAAUGCAGAUCUAAUUCAUAGAUGGGGACUGGGAUUCUGCAUUUCUAACAAGCUCCCAGGUAAU
RNAcentral lists this microRNA precursor (84 nucleotides) under Ovis aries (sheep). RNAcentral describes it as "miRNA (ENSOARG00000024902.1)". Lineage: Eukaryota; Metazoa; Chordata; Mammalia; Artiodactyla; Bovidae. The record is from RNAcentral.